GACGAACGCUGGCGGCGUGCUUAACACAUGCAAGUCGAACGGAAAGGCCCUGCUUUUGUGGGGUGCUCGAGUGGCGAACGGGUGAGUAACACGUGAGUAACCUGCCCUUGACUUUGGGAUAACUUCAGGAAACUGGGGCUAAUACCGGAUAGGAGCUCCUGCUGCAUGGUGGGGGUUGGAAAGUUUCGGCGGUUGGGGAUGGACUCGCGGCUUAUCAGCUUGUUGGUGGGGUAGUGGCUUACCAAGGCUUUGACGGGUAGCCCGCCUGAGAGGGUGACCGGCGACAUUGGGACUGAGGGAAGGCCCAGACGCCGACGGGAGGCAACAGUGGGGAAUAUUGCACAAUGGGCGGAAGCCGGAUGCAGAAACGCCGCGUGCGGGAAGGCGGCCUUCUGGUUGUAAAACGCUUUCGCCUGUGACGAAGCGUGAGUGACGGUAAUGGAUAAAGAAGCACCGGCUAACUACGUG
This 468-nucleotide ribosomal RNA is filed under the name uncultured bacterium. RNAcentral describes it as "partial 16S ribosomal RNA". It matches the Rfam family "Bacterial small subunit ribosomal RNA", at positions 28 to 507 of the family's 1533-position model. The record is from RNAcentral.